UUUAUCAAAAACAUCGCCUCCUGCAACUAUAUUGAGUAUAGGAGGUCCAGCCUGCCCAGUGACUACGGGUUCAACGGCCGCGGUAUUUUGACCGUGCAAAGGUAGCGCAAUCACUUGUCUCUUAAAUAGAGACCUGUAUGAAUGGCUAGACGAGGGCUUAACUGUCUCCCCCUUCCGGUCAGUGAAAUUGAUCUAUCCGUGCAGAAGCGGGUAUAAUUUUACAAGACGAGAAGACCCUUUGGAGCUUAAGGUACAAAAUUCAACCACGUUAAACGACUUCACAGAGAGCAAGAACUUAGUGGCGAGUGAAAUUUUACCUUCGGUUGGGGCGACCACGGAGGAGAAAGAAGCCUCCGAGUGGACUGGGCUAAUCCCCAAAGCCAAGAGAUACAUCUAUAAGCCGCAGAACAUCUGACCAAAAAUGAUCCGGCUGAUAAAGCCGAUCAACGAACCAAGUUACCCUAGGGAUAACAGCGCAAUCCUCUCCCAGAGUCCAUAUCGACGAGGGGGUUUACGACCUCGAUGUUGGAUCAGGACAUCCUAAUGGUGCAGCCGCUAUUAAGGGUUCGUUUGUUCAACGAUUAAAGUCCUACGUGAUCUGAGUUCAGAC
This 610-nucleotide ribosomal RNA is filed under the name Squalius lepidus (Tigris dace). Its description in RNAcentral is "partial large subunit ribosomal RNA". It matches the Rfam family "Bacterial large subunit ribosomal RNA", at positions 1803 to 2616 of the family's 2925-position model. The record is from RNAcentral. Lineage: Eukaryota; Metazoa; Chordata; Actinopteri; Cypriniformes; Leuciscidae.